UGGGGUGUAGCUCAGCGGUAGAGCACUUGCUUAACAGGCACAAAGUCCUGGGUUCACUCCCCAGCACUGUAA
RNAcentral lists this transfer RNA (72 nucleotides) under Rattus norvegicus (Norway rat). It matches the Rfam family "tRNA". From Rfam's summary of the family: Transfer RNA (tRNA) molecules are approximately 80 nucleotides in length. Their secondary structure includes four short double-helical elements and three loops (D, anti-codon, and T loops). The record is from Rfam by way of RNAcentral. Lineage: Eukaryota; Metazoa; Chordata; Mammalia; Rodentia; Muridae.